AUACAGUCUAUGAGAGGAAAGAGUACAUUUCCGGGCAGACUCCUAGCGAAUCGGGUAUGGUGUAAGCCGAUAGUCCAGCAGAAAUGGAAAAUCAUCCUUGAGGCAUGGCGCUGAACGGUUUUACUGAUGGAACCAGUAAGUGGUCACGGGGGCUUCCCGUUAUAGGAGCCGCGUAUGAUGGUACGUAGCAGAGUGCCCUGUUUUGGCAGGGAAUUUGGGUGGUAACACGGAUAAACGAGUCCGUCCCUUUC
Molecule: non-coding RNA, 251 nt
Filed under: Pseudoselenomonas ruminantium
Lineage: Bacteria; Bacillati; Bacillota; Negativicutes; Selenomonadales; Selenomonadaceae
Description: Selenomonas ruminantium T-box sequence
Rfam family: T-box leader
About the family: Uncharged tRNA acts as the effector for transcription antitermination of genes in the T-box leader family.
Source: RNAcentral